Molecule: RNA transcript, 2096 nt
Organism: Varanus komodoensis (Komodo dragon)
Lineage: Eukaryota; Metazoa; Chordata; Lepidosauria; Squamata; Varanidae
Gene: OXLD1
Gene name: oxidoreductase like domain containing 1
Exons: 2
Source: RefSeq, a predicted model, not a curated record
UGGGCGCUGUGCGGAGUAGCCGCGGGCUGGUGGGGCCUCGGGGUGGCGCGGCUGCUGGGCAGAACUCACCACAGUGAAAAUGGGAUCUUCAAAAGAUCUGCCCAGAUACCGACCAGACCCAGAGCUGUGUGGGUUGAGCAAGGUUGUUGUAUUAUGUGCUUUCAGACCACAGCUCUGGCUUUACCCGCAAAGCCGUAUAGCAUUGGCUGAACCGUUAGAGAUCCAUUAGCCUCUUCCUCCAUCAGUGUCUAAGCAUAAAGGCUUAGGGGGAUUAAAUACAGGUCAUUUCCAUGCCAUAGUGUGAAUAAUGGAUGGUGGAAACAUUUCUAUGCUGUGAUCCAGUGUGAACCUACGUCAGGACCAUAGGAAGCUGCUUCAAUCUGCAUUCGGCCCUUUGUUCAUCUAGUACACUUUUGUAACUACCUUUCCUUUUUCCCUCUGCAUCAUGUCUGAUUGUAUUACCUUUAAUAUCUAUAUAGCCAUUUAAAAUUUAAGGUGCUUUUAUAAUGAUUACAAAAAGCAAAGGUGGCCAUGCUUGGUCAUAGGAAACAUUCCAAAACCCAUUCUUAGGCCACUCCUUCUAUUAGGUCAACUCAGGGCAACAAAAUAGUACAAAGGCUCAGAGGCAGUGCGCCUAAGUGCACAGUUGCUGAGGAACUGGGACAGGAUGGUGCUGUGGUACUCAGGUCCCGCUUGAGGGAUCCCGUGGGCAGCUAGUCUGGCCGCUGUGUGGACGGAUUUCUAAUCUCCUGGUCACAGUGGGGUUCCAACCCAAGCAGAUGCUCUGUGUGCUACUUCCCAGUCAUGCUCAAAAGUAAAGUCCGACGAGGAUGGGAUUCGAACCCACGCGUGCACAGCACAAUGGAUUUCUAGUCCAUCGCCUUCACCACUCGGCCACCUCGCCCUUGGUCCCAUCCAGCAGGGCUCUGCGUAUGUUCUUUCUCCAGAACACUUCAUCAGGCAAAGCCACCUUGUCUGAUGAAAGGAUCUGGAGAGCCCUUAAGAUUGCAUACUAUUCUGUGACCUUCAAUUGCUCUAAAAAGAUAAUUGCCCUAAUAGUGGAUUUUGGAACAAUAAGGAUUAUGAGCUACACUUCCAGUUACUGUCUGUGUUGAUUUGUUUUGACAUCCGGAUGUCAUCUUCAUAGCUAAGCAUGAAUUUGAAUCUGGGUCUGUGUGGUAUUUGGUCCAGCACUCUACCCUUACAGCACACUGGCAAAAAUGACAGGUCCCUGUCCAGAAGCACUUACAAUCUAAGUUUCUCAGCUUGUUUGUUUGGUUUUCCCUUCUGCAGAUGGUUUAUAAUAAAACAAAUAAUGAUGCUACAUUGAUCCAAAGCACUUAUUGCUGCUUGUGGUUUUCAAAGAGAAGAAAAGAUGAAUUGCUUUUUUAUAGCUUAUGUGGGGAAGGUAUGGAUGGAAAGAAGAUCAAGUGUGCCAACAGAGGGUAGAAAUGUAUACUAGAAAACCACCAGUCAGUAUGAAGAAGAUGGCGCUUCCUUUUUGGGAAGUUCAAAGCACUUUCUGUGGUAAUUCUUUUUCUUAAGCUUUUAUAACCCACUGACGUCUCGGGACGGCUUACAACAAAAUACUUACAGCCGCCUGUAGAAGAGACCUGGGACAGGUUAUGGAAGUGCAUGCCUUUGACUAUCCUCCGCUUUCUCAUGAAGGGCUCACAGCUGAGAGAAGACCAGGGAUGUCGGGGAUGGAUUUUGCACUCACUUCAGUAGUGCUGUCAAUUUCCGUGCCUUACUUUUGCUCCAUACAAAUGAAUGGCCUGUAUUGACUUCUACAGAAAAAAGAAAACUUGCAUCAAAAGUGGGGGAGGGUUUCCUUGCUUUGAAGGGCUGCCCAAUCUAAGUCCGCUUUAAAGAUAAAGAAUCAUCACAAGGGAAAACAGAAAGGCCUUGAAGUUGCCCACUGACUGAAUAACAGACUGUGCAGGCACACGGACCACCUGGCCAUAGUGUCCCCCACAAUGGUAAGAGAUAUUUCAAAGUCGAUUGUUUUUACAUUUGCAUCUGUAGAUGUAAAAGAGCAUGUGGACAGUGUAUGCAGAGCUGUGCCGUCUUUUUGGGGGAUCCAUCAGUGCCACUCC